RNAcentral lists this long non-coding RNA (1420 nucleotides) under Monodelphis domestica (gray short-tailed opossum). Its description in RNAcentral is "lncRNA (ENSMODG00000041624.1)". Lineage: Eukaryota; Metazoa; Chordata; Mammalia; Didelphimorphia; Didelphidae. The record is from RNAcentral.
CUGCUGUUUGAUGGACAGGCCAGCCUGGUGGCAGUUGAGGAGUCAGCUGAGGAUUCUGGGAGAGAACUGUGAGCUGAGGGGGAUUCUGAGCAGUGUAAGAAAAAUGGAGGAGCUUUUCCUGGGGACAGAGAAAAAGCCCCAAGAACAGGGGUCCCCAAACUACAGUCCACGGGCCACAUGCAGCCCCCCGAGGCCAUGUAUCUGGCCCCCACUGCACUUGCGGAAGGGGCACCUCUUUCCUUGGUGGUCAAUGAGAGGACCUGUAUGUGGCGGCACCAUCACUCAUGGUUCAAAAUAAACAGAAUCACCAGCCUUAUCCUGGCAACCAGAAAGAAGUAAGAAAAGAAAGUUAUGAAGAGAAAGAGGAUAAGAGACAACUUAGAGAGUUAAAGGUGGAUGGAGGAAUCCGAAUUUACUUAUUCUUUCCUCAUACAUCAGAAACCCUAAAAAUCCAAUUUUUAUCAGUUCUGAAGUUUCUACUAAUAGAAACCUCUGGUGGCAACCCAGCUUCUAUUUCAAAGCAAAUAAAAAGUCAUUGGGGAAAGGAAUCUUUUUUUGUUUCUUCUUCUAGAUUUUCCUCCUCAAAACAUUUGAUGUACUCAGAGGUAGGCCAGAGAGUUAGGGUGGUGGAAUAAUAGGGGUAAUAUGAGUAAAUACUGCAUCAUAAUGGAUGCAACCUGGAAAUUACUCUUUUUUAGUAAGAGUAUGAUUGCCUUGAAUUUUUACAGAUUAAGGAGCUCAAAAGCUUUUGUUGGGACAAUUUAUUACAACACCCUUGGAGUUCUCUUUUGUCAAUGGUCUGAAAGGAAGGCGCUGUCUGCAAAAAUAGCUUCUACUAUUUCGUGUUCAGUACUUUCAAAGGAUGGGUAGUUUCAUCAGUUUCAUUACUCUCCAACUAGGGCAGACCAGAUCAGCUCUGUUGAUGGUUUUCUUGAGUUGCUACAGUUGGGAAAACAAAAAAACUAUCAGUUGGUGGUUAACCUUCUGAUGAUAAGCCUUUCCAAACUUAACCAGACUUCACAGUACCUUUUGGAGGUAAUGAUUUACUCAUAUAGGCUUCAUGAAUCCAAGUUCAGCAACAGAUCCAACUAAGACAUCAAGAAAGACCAUAAAAAUGUUUAAAUAGUGCUACAAAAAAUGGAAUAUUAACUGUUAUUGUGCCUAGCAUUUGUGCUGAAUGCUAUAGGAGAAAAUGAGACAUAAAUUAUAAGUGUAAGUGUGUAUAUAUAUAUAUGUGUGUGUGUGUGUGUUUACAUAUAUACACACACAUAUUCUAUAUUACAGUUUGUGGAGGUUAGGGUGAGAGUCAGGCAGGAAAAAUUUAUUCACGUGGUCAUACUUAAGUUUUGUACUUUGCUCUUUUAUUUCUUCUACUUCAAGUGAUUACUAAUAAAUCAUAAAAUAUGAUUGGAAUUAUUGA